Molecule: ribosomal RNA, 799 nt
Filed under: Streptomyces sp. D185
Lineage: Bacteria; Bacillati; Actinomycetota; Actinomycetes; Kitasatosporales; Streptomycetaceae
Description: bacterial SSU rRNA
Rfam family: Bacterial small subunit ribosomal RNA
Source: RNAcentral
GCGGCGUGCUUACACAUGCAGUCGAACGAUGAAGCCCUUCGGGGUGGAUUAGUGGCGAACGGGUGAGUAACACGUGGGCAAUCUGCCCUUCACUCUGGGACAAGCCCUGGAAACGGGGUCUAAUACCGGAUAACACUCUGUCCCGCAUGGGACGGGGUUAAAAGCUCCGGCGGUGAAGGAUGAGCCCGCGGCCUAUCAGCUUGUUGGUGGGGUAAUGGCCUACCAAGGCGACGACGGGUAGCCGGCCUGAGAGGGCGACCGGCCACACUGGGACUGAGACACGGCCCAGACUCCUACGGGAGGCAGCAGUGGGGAAUAUUGCACAAUGGGCGAAAGCCUGAUGCAGCGACGCCGCGUGAGGGAUGACGGCCUUCGGGUUGUAAACCUCUUUCAGCAGGGAAGAAGCGAAAGUGACGGUACCUGCAGAAGAAGCGCCGGCUAACUACGUGCCAGCAGCCGCGGUAAUACGUAGGGCGCAAGCGUUGUCCGGAAUUAUUGGGCGUAAAGAGCUCGUAGGCGGCUUGUCACGUCGGAUGUGAAAGCCCGGGGCUUAACCCCGGGUCUGCAUUCGAUACGGGCUAGCUAGAGUGUGGUAGGGGAGAUCGGAAUUCCUGGUGUAGCGGUGAAAUGCGCAGAUAUCAGGAGGAACACCGGUGGCGAAGGCGGAUCUCUGGGCCAUUACUGACGCUGAGGAGCGAAAGCGUGGGGAGCGAACAGGAUUAGAUACCCUGGUAGUCCACGCCGUAAACGUUGGGAACUAGGUGUUGGCGACAUUCCACGUCGUCGGUGCCGCAGCUAA